Molecule: ribosomal RNA, 366 nt
Filed under: Triticum aestivum (bread wheat)
Lineage: Eukaryota; Viridiplantae; Streptophyta; Magnoliopsida; Poales; Poaceae
Description: partial small subunit ribosomal RNA
Source: RNAcentral
AUGACGUCUUGUGUCGAGAUUGAACUCAAGCCUUCCAUAACUUCAGGUGGCUUCUUCCAGCAAUAUUACCAAAAACAAUUCGUUUUUUUAUUUGUAGUGGGGUCUGUAAUUUUCUUAAAUAAAUUACUUUUUCUUUACUACUGUAUGUUUGUUGGGCUUGUCAUGGGCUUGGGGCGAUUUGUUGCAGCUAGGAUAGUAACAAUUCAUAUCAGGCUUGCUGAAACUUAUCCCAUCUGCACAGAUUUAAUGUCAGCUGUACUAUGGGCUUAUAGUUUAGCUGAUGUGCCUUGCGCCCCCCUGCUAGUGAUCGUUAUUAUCAUGCAGCAGAUAAUUUAUGUGCCAAUUCUUUUAGGCGUACUAAUAUGA